UGAUUUUGAUUUCAGGAACCCGCCUGAAAAACAGGGUGAUAAAAUGGAAAGUCAGAAGCCCACCUAAAGAAUAGGGUGAUGAAAUUAAAAGUCAGGAGCCCGCUUGAAGAACAGGGUGAUGAAACUGAAAAGUGAUGAAAUAGCAAGUCAGGAUCCCGCCUGAAGAACAGGGUGAUGAAAUUAAAAGUUGAUGAAAUUAAAAGUCAGGAGCCCGCCUGAAGAACAGGGUGAUGACAAUGAAAAGUGAUGAAAUAGCAAUUCAGGGGCCCGCUUGAAGAACAAGGUGAUGAAUUGAAAGUCAAGCAACAAGGUGAGUAAAUGGAUAGCCAACCAACAAGGUGAAAAAUUGCAAGUCAGGAGCCCGCCUGAAAAAUAGGGUAAAAAAUUUCAAAUCCAGGGUCAAUCUCAGAGAUACCACCCGCAGAACAUGGCCAACUUUGAGUUCAUCUCCAACACCAAAUUUUGUAUGGAGAAAUAAUCUAUCUUCAAGUUCAAUCAAAAAAAUAUUAGAUCUUUGUCACUUUUGAAAGCAUCAGAGACCCAAGACAAGAAUCAAG
RNAcentral lists this long non-coding RNA (557 nucleotides) under Capsicum annuum. RNAcentral describes it as "long non-coding RNA (CANN_LNC018077)". The record is from RNAcentral. Lineage: Eukaryota; Viridiplantae; Streptophyta; Magnoliopsida; Solanales; Solanaceae.